Molecule: long non-coding RNA, 494 nt
Organism: Scophthalmus maximus (turbot)
Lineage: Eukaryota; Metazoa; Chordata; Actinopteri; Pleuronectiformes; Scophthalmidae
Exons: 3
Source: RefSeq, a predicted model, not a curated record
CAACCUUUCCCCAGAAUCGUUUACUGCACCUUUAAGUGUUAUGGCUGUGGAGAGAUUGGCUCCUCUUGUGCACAACUGGGACUCUCUGAGUCACAGCCACCUGACUGCUGCUAUAGGUCUAUCUUGUGAGGAAUAGAGGGCUUCCAGUCAAGAAAGGAAGCUAACAGAUGGUUGGUUUUCUCUCCACCUCUGAUGACACCUGAUAUCCCCUGCAUCCCUCCAACAAAACAACACAGGGAUAAGUGUGUCCUGACUGACGCCCCGGAGACGAAUGGGGCAUACUCCUAUUGAUCCAGUCACCUCAUACAGUCCUUCACAUAGCCUCUCCAACACAUACCAUCCACGAUAAUAGCGGUAAACAUUUGAUUCAUUUUAUGUAUUUUUAUAUCAAUGAUAUAGCGACGUGAUGACGUAUGAUGUAUUGACGUUCCCUUAGAAUGAGAGCAGCGCGUUAGCCGCAGGAGUAAAUAAAGCCACAUGUUGCAAGGACGUAA